Molecule: long non-coding RNA, 1346 nt
Organism: Papaver somniferum (opium poppy)
Lineage: Eukaryota; Viridiplantae; Streptophyta; Magnoliopsida; Ranunculales; Papaveraceae
Exons: 6
Source: RefSeq, a predicted model, not a curated record
UCUCCUUUUCCCUGGCUACUUUCCCUCUUUCUAUUACAACCGACAUCGUUAUCAUCUUCAUCAGAACCAAACCUUCAUUGUCGUCGAAGAAGAAAGGUAUCCUCAUUGCCAGAAGAUGAAUUGUUUCUUCUCCAUUUUUAUUUCACUUUUAUGAAGUAAACCCAAGAUUCAAAUUUUUUUAUCUUCCACUUCAAAAUCUUUAACCCGAUUAUAAUCUAAGAUGAUAUAUGCUCACCAUGCUAUAAUCUGGAUUACCCAUAACAUGUUUUUAUUCUCAAAUCAUCUACAAUUUACAAAUUUUCGACCUAAUGAGGGAAAUCAGAGUUAAUCGAUUGCAAGUGUUUUUCUCUGUUCUGUGGGUGUUGUUGGCACGAGAUUUCCCCCAAAAUCCCUUCUCUUUUUUCAGAAGAUUUCUUAGAAACCCACUUGAGUCAUCAACUCUUUCAGGGGAGAGAUAUGAUAGGUAGUGAAAGAACUGGUACAUGGAUAAAAUCUUGAAAUUUAAUGAGGCACAUGGGUAUGUUGUGUUUUUUUAUCUUGGUUAACUUCAGUUGUUGUGGAACGUUUGAUUGGUGCUGUGGAUACAUGUCUAUUGUGUUUUGAAAAUUCGCCUUUCAGUAGAUAAAUGUUAUUGUGUUUUGGCUCAUUGAAUCCUACAAGGGAAUUGGAGAGUGUUUUGGACGAAUAAUCAAGGAAAAAGGGUUUGGAUCAUUGUGGAGAGGAAACACAACCAAUGUCAUCCUUUACUUCCCUACUCAGGUUGGAUCAUAUGUGUUUUCAAUCCAAAGAGUAAAAGGAGGCAGAUUUCAUCUACUCAAUUUAUGAGAGGAAUUCAUCCUCCUGCUGCAGAUUAUCUAAGCUACAAAGAGAAUUCAAAUAUCCAAACAAUGAAAUGGAGGUAGAAGAGAACGGAGAGCAGCGAACCCAGGAAGAAGAGGUUGUUGAGGUCGAUGUUGAUUCUACAGAUGGCGCUGUACUUGUGAACAGUAAUAAAGCUGAUGAAGAGUGGGGUACGACUAAUGAAGGAAACUUAUCAUCCUAAAAGCUAUUGGUUUGGCUAAAUAGGUCGCAGAUAUGAGUAAUAAGUGCGACUAUUUACAAGGCUGGUUAUGAAGCAACAAGAAACUAUACUUGUUUGAGCAUGUAGAGGUAUACGGGAGAACUCUUUAGUUUAUGAUUUCAUGAAUUACCUAAGUUCAACAACGGUUAGUGUUUAUAAUUCAAUGUAUGAAAUGACCAUGUAUUGUUACGUCUCUUAGAAACUUAUGGUUCUAUGCUUUGAAUGUUUUGCCUAAGAACUGAAGAAUUUCACUGUAAAUCCGCCUGAAAUUGUUGCAAAGAAUGAA